GGGCCCGUAGCUCAGCCUGGUGGAGCGGCGGGCUCUUAACCCGUAGGUCCCGGGUUCAAAUCCCGGCGGGCCCG
Molecule: transfer RNA, 74 nt
Filed under: Desulfurococcus mucosus DSM 2162
Lineage: Archaea; Thermoproteati; Thermoproteota; Thermoprotei; Desulfurococcales; Desulfurococcaceae
Description: tRNA-Lys (CTT) (tRNA-Lys-CTT-1-1)
Rfam family: tRNA
About the family: Transfer RNA (tRNA) molecules are approximately 80 nucleotides in length. Their secondary structure includes four short double-helical elements and three loops (D, anti-codon, and T loops).
Source: Rfam by way of RNAcentral